GUAGGUGGCAAGCGUUGUCCGGAAUUAUUGGGCGUAAAGCGCGCGCAGGCGGUUCUUUAAGUCUGAUGUGAAAGCCCACGGCUCAACCGUGGAGGGUCAUUGGAAACUGGAGAACUUGAGUACAGAAGAGGAAGGCGGAAUUCCACGUGUAGCGGUGAAAUGCGUAGAGAUGUGGAGGAACACCAGUGGCGAAGGCGGCUUUCUGGUCUGUAACUGACGCUGAGGCGCGAAAGCGUGGGGAGCAAACAGGGAUUAGAUACCCUGGUAGUCCACGCCGUAAACGAUGAGUGCUAAGUGUUAGGGGGGUUUCCGCCCCCUUAGUGCUGCAGCUAACGCAUUAAGCACUCCGCCCUGGGGAGUACGGCCGCAAGGCUG
This 375-nucleotide ribosomal RNA is filed under the name uncultured organism. RNAcentral describes it as "partial 16S ribosomal RNA". It matches the Rfam family "Bacterial small subunit ribosomal RNA", at positions 527 to 896 of the family's 1533-position model. The record is from RNAcentral.